UGAGGAAUAUUGGACAAUGGGCGGGAGCCUGAUCCAGCCAUGCCGCGUGCAGGAAGACUGCCCUAUGGGUUGUAAACUGCUUUUUUACGGGAAGAAACACCCCCACGUGUGGGGGCUUGACGGUACCGUACGAAUAAGGACCGGCUAACUCCGUGCCAGCAGCCGCGGUAAUACGGAGGGUCCGAGCGUUAUCCGGAAUCAUUGGGUUUAAAGGGUCCGUAGGCGGGCGUCUAAGUCAGUGGUGAAAUCUCGCGGCUCAACCGUGAAAUUGCCAUUGAUACUGGUCGCCUUGAAUUAGUGUGAAGUGGCUAGAAUAUGUAGUGUAGCGGUGAAAUGCUUAGAUAUUACAUAGAAUACCGAUUGCGAAGGCAGGUCACUAACACUAUAUUGACGCUGAUGGACGAAAGCGUGGGGAGCGAACAGGAUUAGAUACCCUGGUAGUCCACGCCGUAAACGAUGGAUACUAGCUGUCCGGCCUGCAUUGGUAGGCUGGGUGGCCAAGCGAAAGUGAUAAGUAUCCCACCUGGGGAGUACGUUCGCAAGAAUG
RNAcentral lists this ribosomal RNA (547 nucleotides) under uncultured bacterium. Its description in RNAcentral is "bacterial SSU rRNA". It matches the Rfam family "Bacterial small subunit ribosomal RNA", at positions 355 to 896 of the family's 1533-position model. The record is from RNAcentral.